GCCGCACCUCGCCUCAUGGCGGUGAUCUCCCCUCAGGGCAACGGGGCGCGCGCGGCGGAGGUUUCUGGAAGGCGGCGGGGGAGGGCGGCGGAGCCUUCCCUUCCCCUCAAGGGAAGCUUCCCCUACCCCCCAGGCAGCCUCGGGCCAGAGGUUUCCACUCCUCGGGUUGCGUGGAAAGCGGCCUUCACGCCGCUCCUCGCUGCCUUUGAGUGUACCAAAGCCAUUGCUGAGGCAAAGGUCUCUGGUUCUCCAUAAAGAGAAAAGGAAAAACAUCUGUCGGUUUGGUAACGUCUCUGGGAGGUGCUGUUACUGUUCCAGAAGGCCAUUGGGACGGUAAGAUUUCCUGCAGGUUCCGACAUCGCAGCAUAAUGUCACUUGGAGUGACAUCCAUGGUGCAGCCAUCAGUGGUCUUCAGCUUUCGUCAAGGGAGGGAAGAAGAGCCAUGCUUCUUAUUUCCAUGACCACAAGUUGAAACAGGCCGUGGUGUCUUUGCAGCAGCCCCGCCGUCUGCCCAGCUCUGGUGAGAAUUGUAUAUGCUUGCAAGUGACAAGUCUUCUCAAAAGCCAAGUAGCCCUUUCACCUCUGUUCCUCGGGGAGAAGAAGUGGACAAGAGAGUAUUUUGUGGUAUUUUUACUGGCCAGACUGAAACUGAAGAGGUAUUAGAGGUAAUCUCAUGAGAAAGUUUGACCUUGCAAGAUUUCCGAUUGGUUUCUGGAGCCAAAAGAUUCAGAUACAUUUGGAUAGACUUUGAACAAACAUCCAAACUUCUGCAUGCUUGUCUGAACUGAAGAUCCAAAUGUUUUGAUACGCCCUCCUUCCUCUCCUUGACGAACACACGUGUACAUUGUGUGUGUAUUUGCAUGUGUUCUUUGUGAAACCUGGGAAAAUACAUGUACAUUUAGGCUCUUGUCAGAGGGGUUUCUGGGCUGAAGUGCUAAUUCAUUACUGGAAAUAAAAGUUGAUAUAAAACAUAAGUGCUAAGUGCUCCAGAAAGUACAUUAUGAAAAAUAGUUGAGCUAUAUGCAGUCUUCAGUCUCAUUAGGAAGUGAGAAAGAGAUGGCAUGGAAAAAAUUAACUUGUCAACAUAGCCAUUUAUAAUUUUCAAAGAGCACAAUGUGAACAUGAGAUGUUGCACUGACCAUUCAA
Chroicocephalus ridibundus (black-headed gull) is the source of this 1146-nucleotide long non-coding RNA. RefSeq lists it as uncharacterized. NCBI's taxonomy places the organism in Eukaryota, Metazoa, Chordata, Aves, Charadriiformes, Laridae. The transcript has 5 exons. The record is from RefSeq and is a predicted model, not a curated record.